This 395-nucleotide unclassified non-coding RNA is filed under the name soil metagenome. RNAcentral describes it as "partial contains 5.8S ribosomal RNA, internal transcribed spacer 2, and large subunit ribosomal RNA". The stretch from base 1 to 122 matches the Rfam family "5.8S ribosomal RNA", at positions 35 to 154 of the family's 154-position model. The record is from RNAcentral.
GAUGAAGAACGUAGCGAAAUGCGAUGCUUGGUGUGAAUUGCAGAAUCCCGUGAACCAUCGAGUCUUUGAACGCAAGUUGCGCCCGAAGCCAUCAGGUUGAGGGCACGUCUGCCUGGGCGUCACAUAUCGUUGCCCAAUGCCUAUUGCAGUGCAAUAGGAAUUUCUAGGGCGAAUGAUGGCUUCCCGUGAGCGUUGUUGCCUCGCGGUUGGUUGAAAAUCGAGUCCUUGGUAGGGUGUGCCAUGGUAGAUGGUGGUCGAGUUAGAACGAUACCGAUCAUGUGCAUGCUCCCCAAAAUAUGGCCUCUAUGACCCACACGCGUCUUUUGACGCUCAUGACGAGACCUCAGGUCAGGCGGGGCUACCCGCUGAAUUUAAGCAUAUCAAUAAGCGGAGGA